This 490-nucleotide ribosomal RNA is filed under the name uncultured bacterium. RNAcentral describes it as "partial 16S ribosomal RNA". It matches the Rfam family "Bacterial small subunit ribosomal RNA", at positions 28 to 507 of the family's 1533-position model. The record is from RNAcentral.
GAUGAACGCUAGCGAUAGGCUUAACACAUGCAAGUCGAGGGGCAGUAUGGUCUUAGCUUGCUAAGACUGAUGGCGACCGGCGCACGGGUGCGUAACGCGUAUGCAACUUGCCUCACAGAGGGGGAUAACCCGUCGAAAGACGGACUAAUACCGCGUACACUCUAUUUUGGGCAUCCAAGGUAGAGGAAAUGAAAUUCGCUGUGAGAUAGGCAUGCGUCCCAUUAGCUAGUUGGUGAGGUAACGGCUCACCAAGGCGACGAUGGGUAGGGGAACUGAGAGGUUGAACCCCCACACUGGUACUGGGACACGGACCAGGCUCCUACGGGAGGCAGCAGUGAGGAAUAUUGGGCAAUGGGCGAGAGCCUGAACCAGCCAAGUCGCGUGAAGGAUGACUGUCCUAUGGAUUGUAAACUUCUUUUGUAGGGGAAUAAAGAGGGGCACGUGUGCCACAGUGAAUGUACCCUACGAAUAAGCAUCGGCUAACUCCGUG